This 2903-nucleotide ribosomal RNA is filed under the name Salmonella enterica subsp. enterica. RNAcentral describes it as "23S ribosomal RNA". It matches the Rfam family "Bacterial large subunit ribosomal RNA". Lineage: Bacteria; Pseudomonadati; Pseudomonadota; Gammaproteobacteria; Enterobacterales; Enterobacteriaceae. The record is from RNAcentral.
UUAAGCGACUAAGCGUACACGGUGGAUGCCCUGGCAGUCAGAGGCGAUGAAGGGCGUGCUAAUCUGCGAUAAGCGCCGGUAAGGUGAUAUGAACCGUUAUAACCGGCGAUACCCGAAUGGGGAAACCCAGUGUGAUUCGUCACACUAUCAUUAACUGAAUCCAUAGGUUAAUGAGGCGAACCGGGGGAACUGAAACAUCUAAGUACCCCGAGGAAAAGAAAUCAACCGAGAUUCCCCCAGUAGCGGCGAGCGAACGGGGAGGAGCCCAGAGCCUGAAUCAGCAUGUGUGUUAGUGGAAGCGUCUGGAAAGGCGCGCGAUACAGGGUGACAGCCCCGUACACAAAAGCGCACGUGCUGUGAGCUCGAUGAGUAGGGCGGGACACGUGGUAUCCUGUCUGAAUAUGGGGGGACCAUCCUCCAAGGCUAAAUACUCCUGACUGACCGAUAGUGAACCAGUACCGUGAGGGAAAGGCGAAAAGAACCCCGGCGAGGGGAGUGAAAAAGAACCUGAAACCGUGUACGUACAAGCAGUGGGAGCACAGGUUUACCUGUGUGACUGCGUACCUUUUGUAUAAUGGGUCAGCGACUUAUAUUCUGUAGCAAGGUUAACCGUAUAGGGGAGCCGGAGGGAAACCGAGUCUUAACCGGGCGUUAAGUUGCAGGGUAUAGACCCGAAACCCGGUGAUCUAGCCAUGGGCAGGUUGAAGGUUGGGUAACACUAACUGGAGGACCGAACCGACUAAUGUUGAAAAAUUAGCGGAUGACCUGUGGCUGGGGGUGAAAGGCCAAUCAAACCGGGAGAUAGCUGGUUCUCCCCGAAAGCUAUUUAGGUAGCGCCUCGUGAAUUCAUCUCCGGGGGUAGAGCACUGUUUCGGCUAGGGGGCCAUCCCGGCUUACCAACCCGAUGCAAACUGCGAAUACCGGAGAAUGUUAUCACGGGAGACACACGGCGGGUGCUAACGUCCGUCGUGAAGAGGGAAACAACCCAGACCGCCAGCUAAGGUCCCAAAGUCAUGGUUAAGUGGGAAACGAUGUGGGAAGGCCCAGACAGCCAGGAUGUUGGCUUAGAAGCAGCCAUCAUUUAAAGAAAGCGUAAUAGCUCACUGGUCGAGUCGGCCUGCGCGGAAGAUGUAACGGGGCUAAACCAUGCACCGAAGCUGCGGCAGCGACACUGUGUGUUGUUGGGUAGGGGAGCGUUCUGUAAGCCUGCGAAGGUGGCCUGUGAGGGUUGCUGGAGGUAUCAGAAGUGCGAAUGCUGACAUAAGUAACGAUAAAGCGGGUGAAAAGCCCGCUCGCCGGAAGACCAAGGGUUCCUGUCCAACGUUAAUCGGGGCAGGGUGAGUCGACCCCUAAGGCGAGGCCGAAAGGCGUAGUCGAUGGGAAACGGGUUAAUAUUCCCGUACUUGGUGUUACUGCGAAGGGGGGACGGAGAAGGCUAUGUUGGCCGGGCGACGGUUGUCCCGGUUUAAGCGUGUAGGCUGGUUUUCCAGGCAAAUCCGGAAAAUCAAGGCUGAGGCGUGACGACGAGGCACUACGGUGCUGAAGCAACAAAUGCCCUGCUUCCAGGAAAAGCCUCUAAGCAUCAGGUAACAUCAAAUCGUACCCCAAACCGACACAGGUGGUCAGGUAGAGAAUACCAAGGCGCUUGAGAGAACUCGGGUGAAGGAACUAGGCAAAAUGGUGCCGUAACUUCGGGAGAAGGCACGCUGACACGUAGGUGAAGUGAUUUACUCAUGGAGCUGAAGUCAGUCGAAGAUACCAGCUGGCUGCAACUGUUUAUUAAAAACACAGCACUGUGCAAACACGAAAGUGGACGUAUACGGUGUGACGCCUGCCCGGUGCCGGAAGGUUAAUUGAUGGGGUCAGCGCAAGCGAAGCUCCUGAUCGAAGCCCCGGUAAACGGCGGCCGUAACUAUAACGGUCCUAAGGUAGCGAAAUUCCUUGUCGGGUAAGUUCCGACCUGCACGAAUGGCGUAAUGAUGGCCAGGCUGUCUCCACCCGAGACUCAGUGAAAUUGAACUCGCUGUGAAGAUGCAGUGUACCCGCGGCAAGACGGAAAGACCCCGUGAACCUUUACUAUAGCUUGACACUGAACAUUGAGCCUUGAUGUGUAGGAUAGGUGGGAGGCUUUGAAGUGUGGACGCCAGUCUGCAUGGAGCCAACCUUGAAAUACCACCCUUUAAUGUUUGAUGUUCUAACGUGGACCCGUUACCCGGGUUGCGGACAGUGUCUGGUGGGUAGUUUGACUGGGGCGGUCUCCUCCUAAAGAGUAACGGAGGAGCACGAAGGUUGGCUAAUCCUGGUCGGACAUCAGGAGGUUAGUGCAAUGGCAUAAGCCAGCUUGACUGCGAGCGUGACGGCGCGAGCAGGUGCGAAAGCAGGUCAUAGUGAUCCGGUGGUUCUGAAUGGAAGGGCCAUCGCUCAACGGAUAAAAGGUACUCCGGGGAUAACAGGCUGAUACCGCCCAAGAGUUCAUAUCGACGGCGGUGUUUGGCACCUCGAUGUCGGCUCAUCACAUCCUGGGGCUGAAGUAGGUCCCAAGGGUAUGGCUGUUCGCCAUUUAAAGUGGUACGCGAGCUGGGUUUAGAACGUCGUGAGACAGUUCGGUCCCUAUCUGCCGUGGGCGCUGGAGAACUGAGGGGGGCUGCUCCUAGUACGAGAGGACCGGAGUGGACGCAUCACUGGUGUUCGGGUUGUCAUGCCAAUGGCACUGCCCGGUAGCUAAAUGCGGAAGAGAUAAGUGCUGAAAGCAUCUAAGCACGAAACUUGCCCCGAGAUGAGUUCUCCCUGAGACUUAAAGUCUCCUGAAGGAACGUUGAAGACGACGACGUUGAUAGGCCGGGUGUGUAAGCGCAGCGAUGCGUUGAGCUAACCGGUACUAAUGAACCGUGAGGCUUAACCUU